Molecule: unclassified non-coding RNA, 304 nt
Filed under: Hevea brasiliensis (rubber tree)
Lineage: Eukaryota; Viridiplantae; Streptophyta; Magnoliopsida; Malpighiales; Euphorbiaceae
Source: RNAcentral
GAGAGAGAGAGAGAGAGAAUUUGUAGAUAGCCAAUAAACAUUAUCAUUUUGUAUUUAUCAUAACUUAUAAUACUCAUUUAAAUAAUCACAUUAAUCACUUAAACUUUGGCAAGUUAAUUUUUUUUAAUUAAAAAUAAAAAGAAGAAAAUCGCAUGAGAGCUGUUGAUAGAAGAUUUGAAGCCUUAUCCCUACCAGAUUUUAAACUGACAAACCGUAUGGUAUGAUAUGAUAGCUGAUGCAUCAAUUAAGUGUACGCUUGGUUGCCUUUGCCCUUUCUUUUCUUUGUACCACAUAAUUACCAGUU